CCUACGGGUGGCAGCAGUGGGGAAUAUUGCGCAAUGGACGAGAGCCUGACGCAGCGACGCCGCGUGAAGGAUGAAGGUCUUCUGAUCUUAAACCUCUGUCAGCAGGGAAGAACGGUCACUUUGCUAAUCAUCCUUGCAUUGACGGUACCUACAAAGGCCGCACCGGCUCACUCCGUGCCAGCAGCCACGGUAAUACGGCGGGUGCGAGCGUUGAUCGGAAUUACUGGGCGUAAAGCGCUCGGAGGCGGUAUGUCAAGUCAAGUGUGAAAUCCCCGGGCUCAACGUGGGAACUGCAUUUGAAACUGGCAAACUGGAGUGUGGGAGAGGAGAGCGGAAUUCGAGGUGUAGGAGUGAAAUCCGUAGAUAUCGGGAGGAACAUCAGUGGCGAAGGCGACUAGCUGGAACAUAACUGACGCUGAGGAGCGAAAGCGUGGGUAGCAAACAGGAUUAGAUACCCGUGUAGUC
RNAcentral lists this ribosomal RNA (465 nucleotides) under uncultured bacterium. RNAcentral describes it as "partial 16S ribosomal RNA". It matches the Rfam family "Bacterial small subunit ribosomal RNA", at positions 338 to 795 of the family's 1533-position model. The record is from RNAcentral.